GGGCUGCAAGCAGUAGGGGGCGAGCCUUCGCCCGGCUGAGGGGCCGGGUACUGCGUGCCCGGAAAGGUGGUCCGGGCCUCGAAGAGAGCUUUCGGAGGGAGGGCCGUCGGGCCAGCCGCUGUGUUCGGCUUCUUACUCAAUAAUAAUAAUUAACAAGUCUACACUUCCACGUUCUCUUGCUCGUGUAGUGCCAGGCACUGUUAGAGACUUUGAAUAAUAAUGCAAGUACUUAUUGUAAACAUGAUGUUUAUGGUGACUGAUACGUGCUAGGCACUAUGACAGAUCGUAAAUGAUAAUUAUAAAUAUAAUAAACUACCAAAUUAUUAUUUACUUAUUUUUUUGCCACUCUGGUGAUGCUUUCAAUAACAACAAACAACUGUCAUAAAUAAAAGCUGCUCCACAUUAAAUCUUUGCCAUGCAACCAGCACCGUCCUGGAUCCUUCGCUAAUAGACACCAUUUAUUCAUGCAACAAAGGCUACAGAAUACAAUGAUGAGAAAAAUUUACCUUAUUCCACCUUCCUGCUAGAAUCGAGUGAAGAGACAUCCUUUGAAUACUGAGGCUGGCUUGCUAGAGCAGCAAUUCAUUCCCUCACCACAGUGAGGACGGCACUGUGCAGUCUCCUCCCGUUGUUUACUUUUCAAGAGUCAGACAGCAAUCUCAUCAUCAUUCCUUCAGGCCCUCUGCCAUGCUGCCCUGCUUUGGAGCUAGCUGACAAUGGACUGAAAUCUCUACAAACUGAGAUGCCAGGGCUCACAGAGGUGAAACCAUUUAUCAGGACCACCAGGACACUAGCGCUGUGGAAGAAACGCACCUGAGAUCGGAGGUGCAUGGGGCAAUAAUGAUCUAAUAAUAACAAAAACUGCAGCUGCUGCUGGCCAAGGGAUUCACAUGAAGCUCUCACACAUCUUGCAACAAUGAAGCAGUGACACCAGUAUUUUCCUUGGUGCACAGAUAAGGAGCCUGAGGCACAGGGAGAUCUAUUAGCCCAAGAGCACGUAGCAAGGGCUUACGGCACAGCAGGGACUCAACAGAUGUAAGAGCGAGUGAAGAAAUGAAGGAACGAAUGCAUGAAUAAAGAUCCAGGAUCACCAGUGGUGGAAGUUUCAGGACAAACUUGUGCAUAGGAUUUGUAAAAACCCUUGGAAGACCCAGCAGCUCAAACCCACCCUGGAUGGCGGAUGGGGCAGUCAAAGUCAGAAGUUCCUGACCAUUUUCCAAAAAGGGUUUGGAGGCCCCUCCAGAAUUAGGCAGAAGGACAUGGGAAGGGCUUUCUCCUCUGCUGAGGGUCUCAGGAACCUAGGUGUCUGUUGCAAGUUUGCACAGCAGGG
RNAcentral lists this long non-coding RNA (1330 nucleotides) under Heterocephalus glaber (naked mole-rat). Its description in RNAcentral is "lncRNA (ENSHGLG00000033514.1)". The record is from RNAcentral. Lineage: Eukaryota; Metazoa; Chordata; Mammalia; Rodentia; Bathyergidae.